AUGCCCGUAGAGAGCGGCGGGUCACAUGACAUGCUCUCAUUCAUGGGAUGGUUUCUGACCAUUUGUCUCAAACCCACUGUAGGCCAACCUCAGAGUGGAGCCAACACGGAGGAGAGAGGGGCUGGGACUAAGCAUAUUCCGAAGCUGGGGGCAGUGUGCCAAAUACCAAUGGAAAAAACCUCGGGUCCCUCAGUUUCUGAGCGGCUCCGGAGUCACCACUCUGACAGAAGAGGAGGGAAUCACACAAGCAGUGGAAGGCAUGCCAACAAAGACUUCAGAAACCAUCAGAGCCAGAGGAAAUAUCGGGCAGGAACUUCAUAUUCCCAUCUACCUCAGGAAAGACAUGCUAUAAACACCAGAUAUGGGGACCAUGCUAAAUCCAACCAAUCACAUCGAACUGAACAGGAGCUGGUAGGACCCUUGCCUGUAAAGAGAUCUCGACAUUUUUGCCCCCGAGCAUCAAAGAAAAGCAAGGGCCGCACUUCGCACAAGAGAAAUUCCAAGAAAAAGUCAAGAGGGAGAGGCCGAAAAUAGGUAAGUAGAGCAACACGUCUAUAAAGUGGUAUUAGGGGAGACUAGUAAUAAAUGGUUUCACUAAGGAGACUGAUAGAGUGUU
This 616-nucleotide long non-coding RNA is filed under the name Monodelphis domestica (gray short-tailed opossum). RNAcentral's name for it is "lncRNA (ENSMODG00000034542.2)". Lineage: Eukaryota; Metazoa; Chordata; Mammalia; Didelphimorphia; Didelphidae. The record is from RNAcentral.